CUAGGCGGGGGUCACCAUGAUCAUGAAGGAGGUUCACCCAAGGUGAGGCUCAGUCAUUGGACAUUCCGGUUGGGUUGACCCCUGCGAAUUCCCUAAAUGUGAGAAUCUUGAUUGCAUAAUUCCUGGUAAUGCAAAAACACCCUACUCUAAUCUGUA
This 156-nucleotide small nuclear RNA is filed under the name Gouania willdenowi (blunt-snouted clingfish). RNAcentral describes it as "U1 spliceosomal RNA (ENSGWIG00000021691.1)". It matches the Rfam family "U1 spliceosomal RNA". From Rfam's summary of the family: U1 is a small nuclear RNA (snRNA) component of the spliceosome (involved in pre-mRNA splicing). Its 5' end forms complementary base pairs with the 5' splice junction, thus defining the 5' donor site of an intron. The record is from RNAcentral. Lineage: Eukaryota; Metazoa; Chordata; Actinopteri; Blenniiformes; Gobiesocidae.